Molecule: long non-coding RNA, 672 nt
Filed under: Hordeum vulgare
Lineage: Eukaryota; Viridiplantae; Streptophyta; Magnoliopsida; Poales; Poaceae
Description: long non-coding RNA (HVUL_LNC021678)
Source: RNAcentral
UCGGGAUAAGUGCAAAGAAACAGAGCAAACAACAACAUAUCUCAUGCAUUGAUUAUCUAGGAAGAUAAAAUCCCUGAAAUGUUCACCAGGUACAAUUCAAGGUUAAUAUAGUCAACCUUUAUGUCAAUAACUAAUAAAAUGAGAGCACAUUCGAUUUAUGCCUUGUGAAAGGAUGUGUAUAUAUAUUCACACUAUUCAUCCAAUCCUGCAUUGCCUGGUUUCUUGAGCUAUUGACAUUACCUAGCCUAAUUAACAUAUUUCAACCAGGCAGGCAUAUACCGUGCAUCGGGGAUGGGUGUCUUGGGAACUCAACUUUUCAGUCCAUCCUUUCCGGAAGUUCUACCUCUUUCAGAAUCUUGACUUAGCUGCUAAUAUUUUCUUUGGUUUUGCGUUGCUUCCAUGUUCAGAGAUAGAACCAAGAAGGAUGCACGUCAGAACUAUUUUAUUGCUGCAAGAAUCUUAGGUGAUCAAAGUUAUAAAGAAGUGAUACAAGAAGGCGUAUAGCAUGGUGCCAAUGUGAAGAUCCCGCUAGGAAUAUACAAGCUUCCAGAAUGACACAAUGUGGCAGAGCUAUAACAUGUUUACUAGGUUCUGUGACUGGUCUUCAUGGCGUACAUGGUCUAACAUUUAACUCUUUCUUCAGUAGAUUAUCUUAGUUUCUUAAUUUCAUCG